GACGAACGCUGGCGGCGCGCUUAACACAUGCAAGUCGAACGGAAAGGCCUGCUUUCCCUUGUGGAUUGCGGGUACUCGAGUGGCGAACGGGUGAGUAACACGUGAGUGAUCUGCCCCCAACUUGGGUAUAAGCCUGGGAAACUGGGUCUAAUUCCCGAUAGGACUGCAGGGUGGUGCCUGUGGUGGAAAACGAUUUUCUAGUGGUUGGGGAUGAGCUCGCGGCCUAUCAGCUUGUUGGUGGGGUAAUGGCCUACCAAGGCGGCGACGGGUAGCCGGCCUGGGAGGGUGGACGGCCACAUUGGGACUGAGGUACGGCCCAGACUCCUACGGGAGGCAGCAGUGGGGAAUAUUGCACAAUGGGCGGAAGCCGGAUGCAGCGACGCGGCGUGGGGGAUGACGGCCUUCGGGUUGUAAACUCCUUUCGACCGCGAGGAAGCCACCUGGUUGGAAGGGUGGUGACGGUAGUGGUAGAAGAAGCACCGGCUAACUACGUG
Molecule: ribosomal RNA, 494 nt
Filed under: uncultured bacterium
Lineage: Bacteria
Description: partial 16S ribosomal RNA
Rfam family: Bacterial small subunit ribosomal RNA
Source: RNAcentral